UUCCAGACUCCUACGGGAGGCAGCAGUGAGGAAUAUUGGUCAAUGGGCGAGAGCCUGAACCAGCCAAGUCGCGUGAGGGAGUACUGCCCUAUGGGUUGUAAACCUCUUUUGUCGGGGAGCAAAAAGGCCUCGUGAGGCCACAAGUGAGAGUACCCGAAGAAAAAGCAUCGGCUAACUCCGUGCCAGCAGCCGCGGUAAUACGGAGGAUGCGAGCGUUAUCCGGAUUUAUUGGGUUUAAAGGGUGCGUAGGCGGACUGGAAAGUCAGGGGUAAAAUCGAGAGGCUCAACCUCUUUCCGCCGUUGAAACUGUCGGUCUUGAGUGGGCGAGAAGUAUGCGGAAUGCGUGGUGUAGCGGUGAAAUGCAUAGAUACCACGCAGAACUCCGAUUGCGAAGGCAGCAUACCGGCGCCCGACUGACGCUGAGGCACGAAAGCGUGGGUAUCGAACAGGAUUAGAUACCCUCGUAA
Molecule: ribosomal RNA, 467 nt
Filed under: uncultured bacterium
Lineage: Bacteria
Description: partial 16S ribosomal RNA
Rfam family: Bacterial small subunit ribosomal RNA
Source: RNAcentral